Molecule: ribosomal RNA, 402 nt
Filed under: uncultured bacterium
Lineage: Bacteria
Description: bacterial SSU rRNA
Rfam family: Bacterial small subunit ribosomal RNA
Source: RNAcentral
UGGGGAAUAUUGCACAAUGGAGGAAACUCUGAUGCAGCGACGCCGCGUGAAGGAAGAAGGUCUUCGGAUUGUAAACUUCUGUUGUCAGGGACGAUAAUGACGGUACCUGACGAGAAAGCCACGGCUAACUACGUGCCAGCAGCCGCGGUAAAACGUAGGUGGCAAGCGUUGUCCGGAAUUACUGGGUGUAAAGGGAGCGCAGGCGGAUUGACAAGUUGGAGGUGAAAUUCAUGGGCUCAACCCAUGACCUGCCUUCAAAACUGUCAAUCUUGAGUGGUGUAGAGGUAGGCGGAAUUCCCGGUGUAGCGGUGGAAUGCGUAGAUAUCGGGAGGAACACCAGUGGCGAAGGCGGCCUACUGGGCACUAACUGACGCUGAGGCUCGAAAGCAUGGGUAGCAAACA